CCUACGGGACGCAGCAGUGGGGAAUAUUGCACAAUGGGGGGAACCCUGAUGCAGCGACGCCGCGUGGGUGAAGGAGCACCUCGGUGCGUAAAGCCCUAUCGGCAGGGAAGAAACAGACGGUACCUGACUAAGAAGCCCCGGCUAACUACGUGCCAGCAGCCGCGGUAAUACGGAGGGUGCGAGCGUUAAUCGGAAUUACUGGGCGUAAAGCGCUCGUAGGCGGUAUGUCAAGUCAAGGGUGAAAUCCCCGCGCUCAACGUGGGAACUGCCUUUGAAACUGGCAAACUGGAGUGGGUGAGAGGAUA
Molecule: ribosomal RNA, 305 nt
Filed under: uncultured bacterium
Lineage: Bacteria
Description: bacterial SSU rRNA
Rfam family: Bacterial small subunit ribosomal RNA
Source: RNAcentral